UGGCAGUCUUUUUAUGAAAUCUGGUAGUUGUUUGAUGUUUACCAGAAAACAGUAACGGAUAAGAGAGGAGGGAAAACAACAGUCACUCAAGAAUGGCAUCAUUAGCAACAUCAACACUCGUGUACUCUACUCCUGUUAGAAUCAAAACUAGUUCAAAGCCAAGGUCAAGUUCAAGAACUUGCAAGAAAACAGUCCCUUUCCUUGUUACUAGAGCAGACAGUUCUUCUCUUCUCCUCCAUGCAGCUAAGUACACUGUUGAUAAACACAUACAAAGUGGCAUGGUUGUUGGUUUAGGGUCUGGACAGGCUUCUGGUAUGGCUAUACAGUAUCUGGGUCGGCUACUCGGAACUGGGGCUUUAAAAGAUAUAGUUGGAGUACCCAUGUCUGUAACAAGUGCAAGUGAAGCAGCAAAGGCUGGCAUCCCAUUGGACGUAUACCAAGAUAGUUCUCAAAUUGAUUUUGCAUUUGAUGAUGCUGAUAUUAUAGAAGAAGAAACACUUGUUGCAAUCAUUGGACGUCGGAAAUCACAGAGCGACGAGUCCAUCAUUCAAGAGAAGUCAAUACUCAAAACAGCCAAUAAGCUUGUAUUCAUGAUUACAGAAAACCAGUACGUGGGAGGUCUUGAAGGUUCUAUUCCAGUUUUGGUUCAAGCUCUCAACUGGAUGGAAACUGCUGAAGAGAUUGAUGACCUAUUUUUAGGUGAUGCAGAGGUAUGGAGGAGAUCAUCGAUAGGACAAGCUGGUCCGACGGGGGGCGAUUACCCUUUCAUUACAAGCGAAGGUCACAACGUUCUUGAUGUCAUCUUCACAUCUCCAAUACAAAGCCUUGGUUGUAACAAUGCAGUUUAAAGCAAAAUCAUGCCAAAUUUUUCACAGCAGUUCACUAUGGAGGAGUAGAUUUGUGUUAUUAAACCCAGCCUGGCUUGAUGCACUGUUGUGAUUGCUGCUGAGAGUGGAGGUCUGAACAUUGUUGAUAGAUAGUCUCCUAGUGUGGGAUAUGAUUCUUCUUGAGUCUGUUCUGUACAGAAAAUUGAGCAAGAAAAAAAAAAACGAAGUGAAAUUUAGACAUCCUGUUUUUGAACAAAGGUCUCAUAUGUGCCACAAGAUUCUUCUUUUGUUUAAACCCAGUAUUAUUUAGUAUACUUUGAAUUUAAUUA
RNA transcript from Populus nigra (black poplar), 1156 nucleotides. It is a transcript of the gene named probable ribose-5-phosphate isomerase 4, chloroplastic, with no coding region annotated. The transcript is spliced from 9 exons. The record is from RefSeq and is a predicted model, not a curated record. NCBI's taxonomy places the organism in Eukaryota, Viridiplantae, Streptophyta, Magnoliopsida, Malpighiales, Salicaceae.